GAAACUUUAAAGCACAUAGUUUUGUUCUAGGCAAUUUUGCAACGACCUUUUCCUUUAUAGGUGUUCGUUGUCACGGAUUUUUUUUUUUUUUUUUUUUUUUGCAUACAUUGCCAAGAGAGUGAUAUCUCUACAAAACGAGCUGUGGGUAAGAUUUUUUUUUGAGUAAGUGAUAGAGUAUUAGAACCUUAUAGUUAUUGAGUAUAAUUCUUAUCUCAGAUAGGACUUUUUCUAAUGUUACAGAUACUGAGGUAUCUUUGGCAAUGCAAGUUACCGAUGAUGUAUUAGUUGUGUACAUGCAGGUUUUUUUUUGGUAUGGAAAAGUGAAUUGAUUUGGAAAAUUGUCGAUCCCUAUAGGAUCAAAAUUUUGGCUAUGAUUUUUUUUUGUGCUGUAACUGGUGAUUACCAGAGGCCAUGUAAAGGGUCCCGAUUUCAACAGUAUCAAAGUUGAUUCUGAUAGUCUAGUUUUUAGUCUUAUUUUGUAAGGAUACUAACAAUAGAAUUAGAAAAAUGCUUUUACUCCCGUCAGUGGCUCAAUAUAUUCAAGUCCACGCGCCUUUCUGUGUUCACUCACAGUUAGGUGUUGCAAUAUUAUGGAUAUCAUACUCCUUAGGGGCGAAGGUUUAACCAACCACACAAAUUUGAGGCCAUCCAUUUUUUUUUUUUUUUUUUUUUUUAUGUUUUUUUUUUAGGAAGGGGGUGAUGUUAUGGUCUAUUUUCACGCAAAAGCCGACUGCAAUUUGCAGCCGUAUGUCAGUCAAUAUUUAUAAACUUGCUGUGAUCAGCUACCGUACUACAAGAAAAUAUGAAAAUAAAUAACUCUGAAUUGGUCACUACUAGUUAGACAACCAACAGUACCCUUGAUAACACAGCAUAAUUAUCAAACAGUAUUUUGGGUGGCAUAGUCACUAUCACAAGGGUCUGUCAUUGACACCGACGCGAAAGGUUUUACUUUUUGGUUGGAGGUCAGGAAGUCAAGUUCACGUGCCAAUGUGAGGAAAAUUAGGGGUUUUCCUUUGAACGUUUGGAAGGAAUAGCGUGAGGAGUCGGAUAGUUGUGGAAUUGAUGUCUGGUGGGUUUUGGUUUUGUUUGUCAAUCGGCCGAUGUAACGGACUUUUGCUGAGCGGAAGCAAGGGUUAGAAGCGUGUUUUCUAUGCCGGUGUGCUAGGGAAAUUUUAUAUUUUCCCGGAUAAUCACAGCCCUCUUUGAGGGUGCAAGUGUGAGGUCCUAGGUAUACCUACCCAAAUAUAUUAGUCUUCGCAUGGCAUAGGGUUCUGCCUAAGGUGAAGUCACAAUGAUUAAAUACCAAGCUUAACGACUGAAGUUUGGCUAUGUAAGUAAGGGAAAGCAGAAAUCGAAAGGUAGGAGGAUUUUUCCUUUUUUUCUUUGGAGUAUUGGAUUUUCAACGCAGAAAAUUCUACACAGUGGUUAUGUUAAUAUCGUGCGGCUAAGUGGACUGAAACAUUAUCACUUUUCGUUUAAUUUAAGGUUGUUCAUACUUUAAUAACAUUUUCUAUUUUGUUUUUCCUUUUCUUUUUUUAUAUAUAUACAGUAUAAUAUCAAUGUGAGCCUAUAUAGAUCUAUAAGGAGUUUAAUACCGUAACAUGUAUGAAUACAACCUUGGUUACAUUUAAAUAUUUAAUAAUAUUAACUUAAAUAAUUAUGUAUUAUAAAA
Long non-coding RNA from Diabrotica virgifera virgifera (western corn rootworm), 1672 nucleotides. RefSeq lists it as uncharacterized. NCBI's taxonomy places the organism in Eukaryota, Metazoa, Arthropoda, Insecta, Coleoptera, Chrysomelidae. The transcript is spliced from 2 exons. The record is from RefSeq and is a predicted model, not a curated record.